CACACGGUAAACGAUGAAUACUCGCUGUUUGCGAUAUACGGCAAGCGGCCAAGCGAAAGCGUUAAGUAUUCCACCUGGGGAGUACGCCGGCAACGGUGAAACUCAAAGGAAUUGACGGGGGCCCGCACAAGCGGAGGAACAUGUGGUUUAAUUCGAUGAUACGCAAGGAACCUUACCCGGGCUUAAAUUGCAGAUGAAUUACGGUGAAAGCCGUAAGCCGCAAGGCAUCUGUGAAGGUGCUGCAUGGUUGUCGUCAGCUCGUGCCGUGAGGUGUCGGCUUAAGUGCCAUAACGAGCGCAACCCUUAUCUUUAGUUACUAACAGGUCAUGCUGAGGACUCUAGAGAGACUGCCGUCGUAAGAUGUGAGGAAGGUGGGGAUGACGUCAAAUCAGCACGGCCCUUACGUCCGGGGCUACACACGUGUUACAAUGGGGGGUACAGAAGGCAGCUACCUGGUGACAGGAUGCUAAUCCCAAAAGCCUCUCUCAGUUCGGAUCGAAGUCUGCAACCCGACUUCGUGAAGCUGGAUUCGCUAGUAAUCGCGCAUCAGCCAUGGCGCGGUGAAUACGUUCCCGGGCCUUGUACACACCGCCCGUCAAGCCAUGAAAGCCGGGGGUACCUGAAGUACGUAACCGCAAGGAGCGUCCUAGGGUAAAACUGGUAAUU
This 666-nucleotide ribosomal RNA is filed under the name uncultured organism. RNAcentral describes it as "SSU rRNA". It matches the Rfam family "Bacterial small subunit ribosomal RNA", at positions 796 to 1476 of the family's 1533-position model. The record is from RNAcentral.